GAGGUUGUUCUGGCUCAGAUUGAACGCUGGCGGGAUGCUUUACACAUGCAAGUCGAACGCGCACGGACUUCGGUCUGGUGGCGAGUGGCGAACGGGUGGUAAUGUAUCGGAACGUGCCUAGUAGCGGGGGAUAACUACGCGAAAGCGUAGCUAAUACCACAUACGCCCUUCCAGGAAAGCGGGGGACCUUCGGGCUGCGCUAUUAAACGGCCGAUAUCGGAUUAGCUAGUUGGUGGGGUAACGGCUCACCGAGGCGACGAUCUGCGGCUGGUUGAAGGGACGACCAACCACACUGGGACUGAGACACGGCCCGAACUCCUGCGGAGGAGCAGCAGUGGGGGUACCGGAUGACCGGAAAACCUGAUCCAGCCAUCCGGUAGCCGAUGGGGCCUGGGUUGUAACACUUUUGGCAGGAAAACGGCACCGGGAUAAUACCCCGUGCAAUGACGGUACCUGCAGGGAAUAAGCACCGGCUAACUGCGUACCAGCAGCCGCGGUAAUACCACGUAGGGUGCAAGCGUUAAUCGGAAUUACUGGGCGUAAAGCGUGCGCCGGGCAGUUUUCGGAAAGAAAGAUGUGAAAUCCCAGAGCUUUAACGCCUGGACUCUGUUUACCCCGCUACCGAGCUAGAGUGUGUCAGAGGGAGGUGGAAUUCCGCGUGUAGCUGUGAAAUGCGUAGAUGUGCGGAGGAACACCAAUGUGGCUGGCACUCGCAGGAUAACACUGACGCUCAUGCACGAAAGCGUGGGGAGCAAACAGGAUUAAGGCCUGUGUAGUCCACGCCCUAAACGAUGUCAACUAGCUGUUGGGGUAUUGGUGUAGUAGCGCAGCUAACGCGUGAAGUUGACCGCCUGGGAAGCCGGUCGCAAGAUUAAAACUCAAAGGAAUUGACGGGAUUUGCAAGCGGUGGAUGAUGUGGAUUAAUUCGAUGCAACGCGAAAAACCUUACCUACCCUUGACAUGUCAGGUCCGAAGAGAUUUGGUGCUCGCAAAGAGAACCGGAACACAGGUGCUGCAUGGCUGUCGUCAGCUCGUGUCGUGAAGAUGUUGGGUUAAGUCCCGCAACGAGCGCAACCCUUGUCAUUAGUUGCUACGAGGGCACUCUAAUGGGAACUGCCCGACAAACCGGAGGAAGGUGAGGACGACGUCAAGUCUCUGGCCCUUAUGGGUAGGGCUUCACACGUCAUACAAUGGUCGGGACAGAGGGUCGCCAACCCGCGAGGGGAGCCAAUCCCAGAAACCCGAUCGUAGUCGGAUCGCAGUCUGCAACUCGACUGCGUGAAGUCGGAAUCGCUAGUAAUCGCGGAUCAGCAUGUCGCGGUGAAUACGUUCCCAGGUCUUGUACACACGCCCGUCACAUAGCCAGGGUGGGUUUUACCAGAAGUAGUUAGCCUAACCGUAAGGAGGGCGAUUACCACAGUAGGAUUCAUGACUGGGGUGAAGUGUAUAAAACUAA
This 1456-nucleotide ribosomal RNA is filed under the name uncultured Bordetella sp. RNAcentral describes it as "partial 16S-23S ribosomal RNA intergenic spacer". It matches the Rfam family "Bacterial small subunit ribosomal RNA". Lineage: Bacteria; Pseudomonadati; Pseudomonadota; Betaproteobacteria; Burkholderiales; Alcaligenaceae. The record is from RNAcentral.